UAAGGAAUAUUGGUCAAUGGAGGGAACUCUGAACCAGCCAUGCCGCGUGCAGGAUGACUGCCCUAUGGGUUGUAAACUGCUUUUGUCGGGGAAUAAACCUACGUUUGUAAACGUAGCUGAAUGUACCCGAAGAAUAAGGAUCGGCUAACUCCGUGCCAGCAGCCGCGGUAAUACGGAGGAUCCAAGCGUUAUCCGGAUUUAUUGGGUUUAAAGGGUGCGUAGGCGGUUCUUUAAGUCAGAGGUGAAAGACGGCAGCUUAACUGUCGCAGUGCCUUUGAUACUGAAGAACUUGAAUUAGGUUGAGGAAUGCGGAAUGAGACAAGUAGCGGUGAAAUGCAUAGAUAUGUCUCAGAACCCCGAUUGCGAAGGCAGCAUUCCAAGCCUUUAUUGACGCUGAUGCACGAAAGCGUGGGGAUCGAACA
Molecule: ribosomal RNA, 422 nt
Filed under: uncultured Sphingobacterium sp.
Lineage: Bacteria; Pseudomonadati; Bacteroidota; Sphingobacteriia; Sphingobacteriales; Sphingobacteriaceae
Description: bacterial SSU rRNA
Rfam family: Bacterial small subunit ribosomal RNA
Source: RNAcentral